Molecule: non-coding RNA, 4060 nt
Organism: Oryctolagus cuniculus (rabbit)
Lineage: Eukaryota; Metazoa; Chordata; Mammalia; Lagomorpha; Leporidae
Source: RefSeq, a predicted model, not a curated record
UCCACCCAUGCAUCCCAGACUGGAGUCCAUUUUCCCAUCACUGCAUUCUCAGAGCAGGCCAGGCAUCUCCUGUCACUGACCAAAGGAAGGCCACAUCACUGCAGACCAACCAGAGACCUGCACGUGAAUUAAUCACGUACUGCUCAAUCCCAACUUUAAGAUUUAUUUAUUUAUUUAUUUGAAAGUCAGAGUUACACAGAGAGCAGAGAGGCAGACAGAGAGAAGUCUUCCACCCACUGGUUCACUCCCCAGGUGGCCGCAACAGCCGGAGCUGCAGUAAUCCGAAGCCAGGAGCCAGGAGCUUUUUUCAGGUCUCCCACGUGGGUACAGGAGCCCAAGGACUUAGGCCAUCUUCUACUGCUUUCCCAGGCCAUAGCAGAGAUCUAGAUUGGAAGUGGAGCAGCCAGGACUCAACUGGCACCCAUAUAGGAUGCCGGGACUGCAGGCAGCGGCUUUACUCACUACACUACAGUGCCAGCCCCAUGUGAUCUUAAGCAUUAAACAUGGCCACUGUUCUGUAAAACCUCAGAGUGUACUUUCAAGAAUACUUGAAUUUGUGCUUUCCUGAAAUGUGAUCUGAACAAGCCCCAGAGCGGCUGUUCACUGGGCAGGCUGGUCCUCAUCCAUGUGGCCUCUCAUCCUCCUGUGGGCAUGGUGCCCUAGGCAAGGAGUCUUGAGACACAGCUCGGAAGUUGUCCAGCAAUGCAUCCACCACACUCUCAUGACCACGGCAAGGCACAGGCUAGUGCAAAUUCAGGAGCGGAGACACAGACCUUACUUUUAGAUGCAGAGUACCGGCCAGCGCCAUGGCUCACCUGGUUAAUCCUCCACCUGCAGCAGCACCGGCAUCCCAUAUGGGCACCUGAUUCUAUUCCUGGUUGUUCCUCUUCCAGUCCAGCUCUCUGCUGUGGCCCGGGAGUGCAGUGGAGGAUGGCCCAAGAGCUUGGGCCCUGCACCCCAUGGGAGACCAGCAGAAGCACCUGGUCCCUGGCUUCGGAUCGGCACAGUGCCAGCUGUAGAGGCCAUGUUGGGGGGUGAACCAACGGAAGGAAGACCUUUCUCUCUCUCUCUCUCUCUCUCUCUCUCUCUCUCACUGUCUAACUCUAGCUGUCAAAUAAAAAAAAAUAGAUGCAGAGUAUCAUGUUGCACGUAUGCAUGCUUAUAGGGAGGGGAGGAAUCCCUGCAGCCACUUUAUAAACUGUGACAAACCAGGUUUCAACAUCAUUUUCUGGACUUGCUGACAAAGGGCCUAACUAGAAUAAAAAGGAGGCCAACACAAAGAGUGCUCAACAGAGAAAGGACAAGGAGUGGGGAACGACACUGCAAGAUGCACUCCAAGAAGAAACCCCUGGUUGGUUAAACACCAUUAGUCUACACAAGCGGACUAAAAUACUCUUAGACCUUAAACUCUCUUGACUUUGUUAGUUAUCUGGGUAAAAUUCUAACUUCACAGACAGGGCUGUCAAUCAGAUACAUCAAAGACAUAAAACAAUAAAAACCAUUUCUAGCUACAAAUUGCUCACACUUGUUACUAAUCAUCUGGACAGUGUAACUUGACCUUUUCUCAAUUCCCACACUUUUUGUCUUCUCAACACAUAUCCCUGCUGAUAUCCUUGGCCACUUCCCACAUCUCUGCUUCCUGGAUAAAGAAUGUAUUGAUGGGGCCGGCACUGUGGCAUAGCGGGUAAAGCCGCUGCCUGUAGUGCCGGCAUCCCAUAUAGGCACUGGUUCAUGUCCCGGCUGCUCCACUUCCAAUCCAGCUCUCUGCUAUGGCCUGGGAAAGGAGUAGAAGAUGGCCCAAGUUUUUGGGCCCCUGCACCUACAUGGGAUACCCGGAAGAAGCUCCUGGCUCCUGGCUUCAGAUCAGCACAGCUCCAGCUGUUGUGGCCAAUUGGGGAAUGAACCAGCAGAUGGGAGAUCUCUCCCUCUGUCUCUCUCUCUCUCUCUCUCCCUCUCCUUCUCUCUCUGUGUAACUCUAACUUUCAAAUAAAUAGAUAUUUUUUUUUUAAAAAAAAGGAUAUAUUGAUGCAAAAACUAAAAGCAUGUUGAACACCUAAAGCAGGAGUGAGGAAUAUCCAGCCAUCUGGCCAUAUAAGGCUCAUGAAAUCAUUUGGUUUAACACUGCCAAGGCAACUGCAGGCGAGACUUGAAAUUCAAUAAAUCUAUGAGGUUUUCUCAUAGCAACAGAAAUUUAUAUUAAGUGAAUCCCACUAAUAACAUAAAUUUUGAGGGACAAGCAAGGAACAUCCAUUACUGAACAGACAGGACCCACAUGGGUACACGAUGGGGUAGACACGUAGGCUUCUCAUUGGCUCCCCACAGCCCGCCUGGCUAAACUGCACUGACUCAAAGGACAGAUGUUGCCAGGUAGGCUGGGAGGAUGUGUGUUGGGACAGUGUAAAUGCACUGUGGCAAACUGUGGUGGGCCCACCGGUGACGAAACAGAUGCUGUAAAAUGAUUCUCCACAACACGGAUGGCCAGCGGUGACGCUGUUGACUUCUUUGCUGAGAGAAGAUAAAUCCAAUCGAACUCUAAUCCACACAUCCAUGAUCAACAAUCCCUGAGAAAAUGGAAUCACCCCAGUCUCGGUCCAAGAGGUUUCAUUAUGGACCACUGCCCCAGGCACCAAGAAGGUCUCUGUGCACAGCUGUUGUAUGGACCACUGCCCCAGGCACCAAGAAGGUCUCUGUGCACAGCUGUUGUAUGGACCACUGCCCCAGGCACCAAGAAGGUCUCUGUGCACAGCUGUUGUAUGGACCACUGCCCCAGGCACCAAGAAGGUCUCUGUGCACAGCUGUUGUAUGGACCACUGCCCCAGGCACCAAGAAGGUCUCUGUGCACAGCUGUUGUAUGGACCACUGCCCCAGGCACCAAGAAGGUCUCUGUGCACAGCUGUUGUAUGGACCACUGCCCCAGGCACCAAGAAGGUCUCUGUGCACAGCUGUUGUAUGGACCACUGCCCCAGGCACCAAGAAGGUCUCUGUGCACAGUUGUUGCAGCUCAACAACGGGAUGUCAACAGCAGAAUCAUGGGGCUGGUGCUGUGGUGUAUCGGGUCAAGCUGCCACCUGCAGUGCUGGAAUCCCAUACAGGUGCCAAUUUGAGUUCCAGCUGCUUCACUUCUGAUCCAGCUCUCUGCUGUAGCUUGGGAAAGCAGUGGAAGAUGGCCCAAGUCCUUGGGCCCCUGCACCCGUGUGGGAGACCAGAAAGAAGCUCCUGGCUCCUGGCUUCGGAUUAGCACAGCUCUGGCCAUUGCAGCCAUUUGGGGAGCGAACCAGUGGAUGGAGGACCUCUCUCUCUCUCUCUCUCUCUCUCUCUCUCUCUUACUCUCUUUCUCUCUGCCUCUAUAACUCUGCCUUUCAAAUAAAAAAUAAAUCUUAAAAAAAAAAACAGUAGAAUCAUGAAUAAAUUUUAUCAAAAACAGAGAGCUUAACAGCUGCCAGUUUAAGGAGUUACUGAAUGAUCCUGACUCUGAGUCCAGUGAUCCUGUUUGUCUCUGUAAAGUGUGGUGGCUGAGCUGUGGGAACAAGCUCAUCAGCUUUUACAACCUGUGGGAUGAAGUCAAGUUGUACAGAUGAAGGAUAAUCCUGUCAGGGAAACUCAAGACAGCAAGUGGCUGUGUGGAUCUAUCACCCACGCAGGACAUGACCAGGUGCCUCUCAGGGGUGGACGUCAAGCUGCAGGGCCCCGACCAGCUUCUCAGCUCCCUGCUUCAGAUGUGAAAGCACUGGACACUAAAUCAGGGCUGUGGAAAGUCGAUCUCAAAAGGAAUAACACAGCCGGCGCCAUGGCUCACUAGGCUAAUCCUCCGCCUGCGGCGCCGGCACACUGGGUUCUAGUCCCAGUUGGGGCGCCGGCUCUGUCCCGGUUGUCCCUCUUCCAGGCCAGCUCUCUGCUGUGGCCCAGGAGUGCAGUGGAGGAUGGCCCAGGUCCUUGGGCCCUGCACCCACAUGGGAGACCAGAAGAAGCACCUGGCUCCUGGUUUAGGAUUGGUGCAGCGCACCGGCCGCAAUGCGCCAGCCGUAGCGGCCACUUAGGAGGUGAACCAAUGGAAAAAGGA